AUGGUCUGGGUUGGAAAGGUUUACUGGUGCGAGAUGGGCCCGCGGCCUAUCAGCUUGUUGGUGGGGUAACGGCCCACCAAGGCGACGACGGGUAGCCGACCUGAGAGGGUGACCGGCCACACUGGGACUGAGACACGGCCCAGACUCCUACGGGAGGCAGUAGUGGGGAAUAUUGCACAAUGGGCGAAAGCCUGAUGCAGCGACGCCGCGUGAGGGAUGACGGCCUUCGGGUUGUAAACCUCUUUUGACAGGGACGAAGCGCAAGUGACGGUACCUGUAGAAGAAGCACCGGCCAACUACGUGCCAGCAGCCGCGGUAAUACGUAGGGUGCGAGCGUUGUCCGGAAUUACUGGGCGUAAAGAGCUUGUAGGCGGUCUGUCACGUCGAUUGUGAAAACUUGCAGCUCAACUGCAAGCUUGCAGUCGAUACGGGCAGACUAGAGUACUUCAGGGGAGACUGGAAUUCCUGGUGUAGCGGUGAAAUGCGCAGAUAUCAGGAGGAACACCGGUGGCGAAGGCGGGUCUCUGGGAAGUAACUGACGCUGAGAAGCGAAAGCGUGGGUAGCGAACAGGAUUAGAUACCCUGGUAGUCCACGCCGUAAACGGUGGGUACUAG
RNAcentral lists this ribosomal RNA (615 nucleotides) under Nocardia niigatensis. RNAcentral's name for it is "bacterial SSU rRNA". It matches the Rfam family "Bacterial small subunit ribosomal RNA", at positions 189 to 819 of the family's 1533-position model. Lineage: Bacteria; Bacillati; Actinomycetota; Actinomycetes; Mycobacteriales; Nocardiaceae. The record is from RNAcentral.